UGAGGUAGUAGUUUGUACAGUUUCAGGGUCUACAAUACCACCCGGUAUAGGAGAUAACUGUACAGGCCACUGCCUUGC
Molecule: microRNA precursor, 78 nt
Filed under: Ornithorhynchus anatinus (platypus)
Lineage: Eukaryota; Metazoa; Chordata; Mammalia; Monotremata; Ornithorhynchidae
Description: Oan-Let-7-P2c3_pre stem-loop
Rfam family: let-7 microRNA precursor family
About the family: This family represents the microRNAs (miRNA) let-7 and mir-98. let-7 was identified from a study of developmental timing in C. elegans, and was later shown to be part of a much larger class of non-coding RNAs termed miRNAs.
Source: RNAcentral